UCCGGUUUGUCACCGGCAGUCUCGCAUGAGUCCCCAACUAAAUGCUGGCAACAUGCGACGGGGGUUGCGCUCGUUGCGGGACUUAACCCAACAUCUCACGACACGAGCUGACGACAGCCAUGCAGCACCUGUGUGCAGGUCCCCGAAGGGAAGGAACCCAUCUCUGGGAACCGUCCUGCCAUGUCAAGGGCUGGUAAGGUUCUUCGCGUUGCAUCGAAUUAAACCACAUGCUCCACCGCUUGUGCGGGUCCCCGUCAAUUCCUUUGAGUUUUAGCCUUGCGGCCGUACUCCCCAGGCGGGGCGCUUAAUGCGUUAGCUGCGGCACGGAAGUCUUGCGACCCCCACACCUAGCACCCACCGUUUACGGCUAGGACUAC
RNAcentral lists this unclassified non-coding RNA (377 nucleotides) under uncultured bacterium. Its description in RNAcentral is "contains 16S-23S intergenic spacer region". The record is from RNAcentral.